GAUUAACGCUGGCGGCGUGCCUAACACAUGCAAGUCGAGCGGCAGCGCGUUUUACACUGUCUUCUGGAAGCUUCUAGUUGAAAGAGAAGAUUUAUUCAAGAAUUUUGUGUAAAAUGUCGGCGAGCGGCGGACGGCUGAGUAACGCGUGGGAACGUACCCCAAAGUGAGGGAUAACGCAUCGAAAGGUGUGCUAAUACCGCAUAUGGUCUUCGGAUUAAAGCCUUCGGGCGCUUUGGGAACGGCCUGCGUAAGAUUAGAUAGUUGGUGGGGUAAUGGCCUACCAAGGCGACAAUCGUUAACUGGUAUGAGAGGAUGAUCAGUCAGACUGGAACUGAGACACGGUCCAGACUCCUACGGGAGGCAGCAGUGAGGAAUCUUCCACAAUGGGCGAAAGCCUGAUGGAGCAACGCCGCGUGCAGGAUGAAGGCCUUCGGGUUGUAAACUGCUUUUAUAAGUGAGGAUUAUGACAGUAACUUAUGAAUAAGGAUCGGCUAACUACGUG
This 502-nucleotide ribosomal RNA is filed under the name uncultured bacterium. RNAcentral's name for it is "partial 16S ribosomal RNA". It matches the Rfam family "Bacterial small subunit ribosomal RNA", at positions 28 to 507 of the family's 1533-position model. The record is from RNAcentral.